Molecule: unclassified non-coding RNA, 296 nt
Organism: Aotus nancymaae (Ma's night monkey)
Lineage: Eukaryota; Metazoa; Chordata; Mammalia; Primates; Aotidae
Rfam family: Metazoan signal recognition particle RNA
About the family: The signal recognition particle (SRP) is a universally conserved ribonucleoprotein. It is involved in the co-translational targeting of proteins to membranes. The eukaryotic SRP consists of a 300-nucleotide 7S RNA and six proteins: SRPs 72, 68, 54, 19, 14, and 9.
Source: Ensembl
GCUGGGCAUGGUGGGACCUAUAGUCCCAGCUACUCAGGAGGCUGAGGUGGGAGGAUCACUUGAGCCCAGGAGUUCUGGGCUGUGGUGCACUAUGCCAAUUGGGUGCCCACACUAAGUUCAGCAUCAAUAUGGUGACCUCCCAGGAGCGGGGGACCACCAGGUUGCCUAAGGAAGGGUGAACCGGCCCAUGUCGGAAAUGGAGCAGGUCAAAACUCCCGUGCUGAUCAGUAAUGGGAUCACGCCUGUGAAUAGCCACUGCACUCCAGCCUGGGCAACAUAGUGAGACCCCCAUCUCU